This is a long non-coding RNA of Carassius auratus (goldfish), 1655 nucleotides long. RefSeq lists it as uncharacterized. The record is from RefSeq and is a predicted model, not a curated record. The transcript is spliced from 4 exons. NCBI's taxonomy places the organism in Eukaryota, Metazoa, Chordata, Actinopteri, Cypriniformes, Cyprinidae.
UCUGUGUGUUAAUUAUUUCUUCUUAGUUUGGAUUGUGGAUUUUUUGCUGAAGUGUUUAAUAUGUUCAUUUUGUUUGUUUUUUGUAAUGACCAAGUGUUCAAAGUGCCAACUCAUUUUAAGUGUUUUCUCUUUACUUGAAUUAGUUUUCUUAUUAUGGUAGUCUAUUGUUUGAUCUGUAAUACAAUUCUGGAUUUUAUUGGAAGCUAGGAUUUUGUGUGUUUUUGGAAAAGCAACGCACAAGAGUUUAGUAAUUCUGAUUCAGAUUGUUUGCAAAUUAUUUAAACAAAGUAAUUUAGUCUUCGUAGUCUACACUAUAUUUUCUUGAAAAUGGUCUCAUUAAUUGAUAGUUUAAUAAAGAGUUUAUUUAACUCUGAAAAUUAUUAUUUAUUUUUUUGUGUGAAAUGUGUAAUUUGAAUAUAUGCUAAACAAUACUUUCUUCUUUUUAUGUGUGCUGGUGUAUUAACAAGAGUGAGUUGAGACAGUUGAGACUGCGAGCUGAGACUGCGAGCAGAGGUAAGGCAACUUUUGUAACCAUUAAAAACAAUUUAGAUCAUAGUGCUGAAGUAAGUGUUUAAUUGUAUAACAAAGCAUGGCUGACAAGUAUACCUUUUUUUUCUUUAAUGUGUGGUGGUGCACUGGUUAAAGACUGAGUUGUGUGAGUUGAGGUAAGGCAAUGUUUUGUAACCAUUUAAAAAAGAAUUUGGAAUGUACUGUGAAGUAAAUGUAUAACAAAGCAUGGCUGACAAGUAAACCUUUUUUCUUUUAUGCAUGGUCAUGCACUGGUUAAAGACUACAAGCUGAGGUAAGGCAACUUUUGUAACCAUUAAAAACAAUUUAGAACCGUGCUGAAGUAAGUGUUUAAUUGUAUAACAAAGCAUGGCUGGCAAGUAUACCUUUUUUUUCAUUUGGGGUGGCACAUUGGUUAAAGACUGAGUUGAGGUAAGUCAAACUUUUUGAACAUUUAGAAUAUACUGCUUAAGUACAUUUAAAUGUAUAACAAAGCAUAGCUAAAAAGUGUACCUUUUUCUUUUAUGUGUGGUGGUGCACUAGUAAUAGACUGUGAGUUGAGACGAGUUAAAUGCUUGCUUUUUUCAUGGCAAAAUUAAGACCAUAUCCAUGUGUGCUGGGCAGUCUUAAGAUAUUCAUCAGCACUUGUGUCUUGUCAAGGGCUUAUGUGAAUAAUGUAGCUGGUCAUUAUCAAAUCUUGCAUUGAUAUUUUAAUUAAGAAACUUUUAUUCGGUUUUCAUUCCUGUUGAUAUUAAUAUAUUUUCUUGAAAAAUUGUCUCCUUAAUUGAUAGUUUAUUUAGCUGUGAAAUGUUUUUUUUUUUUUUUUUUGUGAAAGUGAAAUGUGUAAAUUGAAUAUAUGCUAAACAAUACUACUUUGUAUGUGUGCUGGUGAAUGGAUAAGAGUGUGAGUUGAGGUAAAAUUUAUAAUUUUAAUGUAAUUUUUAAAUGUAUGAAGUGAAGUUCUUAAAAUGCAUAACUUAUCACCCUCUUCUUUUUUGCAUGUGCUGGUACACUGGGAAAAGACCGAGUUGAGGUAAGUCAAACUUUUCGAACUUUAUUAAAAUGCAUUUAGAACAUCCUGCCAAAGUGUUUAAAUGUACAACAAAGCCUGGCUGACAAGUAUACCUUUUUUCUUUUAUGCAUGGUGG